CCGAGGGAGUGGGGGCUACUGGCGCCGUUCAGCAACCAAAUAAUUUAGCCAACUCCAAUUUUAACCCUUACUUAACUCUAAAUGUCCCGUGUGCCUGUGCAUAGUGACUGCACUAACUAUAAUGAAAGUACAAAACUAGCUUUUGUCACGGCAAGGGUGCAUCAUUUAUUAUUGCACUAUGGAAUAUUGAUAUUUAAUAUAACUUGUGCAGAGGAC
Non-coding RNA from Pelobates cultripes (western spadefoot toad), 216 nucleotides. Lineage: Eukaryota; Metazoa; Chordata; Amphibia; Anura; Pelobatidae. The record is from the annotation of a GenBank genome assembly.